RNAcentral lists this long non-coding RNA (350 nucleotides) under Eutrema salsugineum. RNAcentral's name for it is "long non-coding RNA (ESAL_LNC001791)". The record is from RNAcentral. Lineage: Eukaryota; Viridiplantae; Streptophyta; Magnoliopsida; Brassicales; Brassicaceae.
CCUUGUAUGUUGCCGAGGUUCCUGGGUACUUCCUUUUUCCAGUCGUUUGUGAGAGGCUUCCAAUUCCAUAAGGAAUGCCUCUUUCAUUUGUGAAAGUCGCCUGCAAAACAGUAUUAGAAUAACAGAACUGUCAAAAUCCAAAGAAUAAAAGCAUAUCAUAAAAGACAAUGUAAAAAAAGUAUUUACCUGAAGAAAGAGUUCAUUUUCCUCUUCUACGGACAGCACCACAGGCGGUGAUGUACCAUCUGAAGUCUCGGAAUCUACCCCAAGAUCAGCCAUCUUUUCUUCCAGUUUCUUCUUAUACGCUUCAGCCAGCGUCUUGGACUUUCGGUCUACAAAAGUGCCAUCCG